RNAcentral lists this unclassified non-coding RNA (227 nucleotides) under uncultured fungus. Its description in RNAcentral is "sequence contains ITS1, 5.8S rRNA gene". The stretch from base 179 to 227 matches the Rfam family "5.8S ribosomal RNA", at positions 1 to 49 of the family's 154-position model. The record is from RNAcentral. Lineage: Eukaryota; Fungi.
UCUCCGUAGGUGAACCUGCGGAGGGAUCAUUACUGAGUGAGGGUCUCCGGGCCCGACCUCCAACCCUUUGUGAACCAACACUGUUGCUUCGGGGGCGACCCUGCCUUUCGGGCAGUGCGCCCCCGGAGGAUAUCAAAACGCUGCAUCUUUGCGUCGGAGUCUUAAUGAAUUUAAACAAAACUUUUAACAACGGAUCUCUUGGUUCUGGCAUCGAUGAAGAACGCAGC